AGAGUUUGAUCCUGGCUCAGAGUGAUCGCUGGCGGCGUGCUUAACACAUGCAAGUCGAGCGAAUUCUGGCAGAGUAUCGCCAGAGUUAGCGGCAGACGGGUGAGUAAUACUUGGGCUAUCUGCCUUGAGAGGGAAACAACCUGCCGAAAGGCGGGCUAAUGUCCCAUAAGACCACGGGAAGGCAUCUUCCAGAGGUCAAA
RNAcentral lists this ribosomal RNA (200 nucleotides) under uncultured bacterium. Its description in RNAcentral is "partial 16S ribosomal RNA". It matches the Rfam family "Bacterial small subunit ribosomal RNA", at positions 8 to 205 of the family's 1533-position model. The record is from RNAcentral.